This 433-nucleotide ribosomal RNA is filed under the name uncultured bacterium. Its description in RNAcentral is "partial 16S ribosomal RNA". It matches the Rfam family "Bacterial small subunit ribosomal RNA", at positions 29 to 507 of the family's 1533-position model. The record is from RNAcentral.
AACGAACGCUGGCGGCAUGCCUAACACAUGCAAGUCGAACGAGACCUUCGGGUCUAGUGGCGCACGGGUGCGUAACGCGUGGGAACCUGCCCUUAGGUUCGGAAUAACUCCCCGAAAGGGGUGCUAAUACCGGAUAAUGUCUUCGGACCAAAGAUUUAUCGCCUUUGGAUGGGCCCGCGUUGGUUUAGCGGGUUGGUAGGGUAAAAGCCUACCAAGGCGACGAUCCAUAGCUGGUCUGAGAGGAUGAUCAGCCGCACUGGGACUGAGACACGGCCCAGACUCCUACGGGAGGCAGCAGUGGGGAAUAUUGGACAAGGGGCGAAAGCCUGAUCCAGCAAUGCCGCGUGAGUGAGGAAGGCCUUAGGGUUGUAAAGCUCUUUUACCCGGGAUGAUAAUGACAGUACCGGGAGAAUAAGCUCCGGCUAACUCCGUG